GCUGAUUGUUCUCAACAAAGUCACACCAUUGGUUAAGUAACCGAAAUCUCCCAUCCAAAACCAAUCUCCAUGCUCUAACUGCCAUACUAACAGUGAUAUUUUUUUGACCAUUCUCCCGACACACAAAGAAAACAAACUCGUAGAAGCGUGAAAAUUCUGAGAAGUCUACUGUUAAGUUUAGAUAUGACAUCAGCUUCGAUAGCUCAUAAACAACUGAGUUCCCCAUCUGCAGUGAUGAUUGCACAUAUAUUAACAGCUCUGCAAGUGCCUGCUUUGAACUUUUAGCCAGUUGUGUUUCUUCAUGUCCAGAUUCAUCACUCCCAUGACAAAAGCCAUUUUGAGAUCGAAUAUCACAGUAUUGACGAUAAAUCUGGACGAUAUCGAAGCGAUUCAUAUGCAAGAAACCCACAACGGAAGUCAUGGAAGUUAAGAUUGUUGGGUGGACAAGAAGCAGAAGGAAAAUCCGGACACCAACUGCAAAACAACACAAAAGGGAAGUUCCCUCGAUUCUCUUUCUUCCCUCCUUCUUCUUCGCCCUUCGCCUUUGGUUUUUG
RNAcentral lists this unclassified non-coding RNA (554 nucleotides) under Hevea brasiliensis (rubber tree). The record is from RNAcentral. Lineage: Eukaryota; Viridiplantae; Streptophyta; Magnoliopsida; Malpighiales; Euphorbiaceae.